RNAcentral lists this ribosomal RNA (1279 nucleotides) under uncultured bacterium. Its description in RNAcentral is "partial 16S ribosomal RNA". It matches the Rfam family "Bacterial small subunit ribosomal RNA", at positions 1 to 1251 of the family's 1533-position model. The record is from RNAcentral.
GCGCCCUAAUUUUUUUGUUAAUCGUGCUAUUAGGGCGAUUGAAUUUAGCGGCCGCGAAUUCGCCCUUAGAGUUUGAUCCUGGCUGAGGAUGAACGCUAGCGGCAGGCAUAAUACAUGCAAGUUGAACGGGAUAGAUUGAGUUUACUUGAUCUUGAGAGUGGCGCACGGGUGCGUAACACGUAUGCAACUUACCUUAAACUGGGGGAUAGCCCGUGGAAACAUGGAUUAAUACCCCAUAGUAUAAUGAACAAGCAUUUGUUUAUUAUUAAAGCUCCGGCGGUUUAAGAUGGGCAUGCGCGUCAUUAGCUAGAUGGUAAGGUAACGGCUUACCAUGGCUACGAUGACUAGGGGGUCUGAGAGGAUUUCCCCCCACACUGGUACUGAGACACGGACCAGACUCCUACGGGAGGCAGCAGUAGGGAAUAUUGGGCAAUGGACGCAAGUCUGACCCAGCCAUGCCGCGUGCAGGAAGACGGCCCUCUGGGUUGUAAACUGCUUUUAUUAGGGAAGAAACCCUUCUACGUGUAGAAGGCUGACGGUACCUAAGGAAUAAGGAUCGGCUAACUCCGUGCCAGCAGCCGCGGUAAUACGGAGGAUCCAAGCGUUGUCCGGAUUUAUUGGGUUUAAAGGGUGCGUAGGCGGACUUUUAAGUCAGAGGUGAAAGCCGGUAGCUUAACUAUCGAAUUGCCUUUGAAACUGAAAGUCUUGAAUUUUGUUGAGGUAGGCGGAAUGUAUCAUGUAGCGGUGAAAUGCAUAGAUAUGAUACAGAACACCGAUUGUGAACGCAGCUUACUAAGCAAACAUUGACGCUGACGCACGAAAGCGUGGGGAUCAAACAGGGUUAGAUACCCUGGUAGUCCACGCCGUAAACGUUGAAUACUUGCUGUUGGCGAUAUACAGUCAGCGGCUCAGCGAAAGCGUUAAGUAUUCCACCUGGGGAGUACGCUCGCAAGAGUGAAACUCAAAGGAAUUGACGGGGCCCGCACAAGCGGAGGAGCAUGUGGUUUAAUUCGAUGAUACGCGAGAACUUACUGGGCUUGAAUGUGGAUUGACGCUGGGAAACAGCCUUCUCUUCGAGCACGAAACAAGUGCUGCAUGCUGUCGUCAGCUCCUGGCGGUGGAGGGGUUGGUAAUUCCGCACAGAGCGCCACCCCCCUUCUUUUAUUUGCUACAGUAAUGGCGUAGGAUCUACAAGACUGCUUACUUUAUUAAAAAAGGUGGGGGCGCUCACCUCUUGCCCUAGUCAGGUUACCGCUCCGAGGUGUGCCAAAGGGGUCCU